CGGCUGUCAAGAGGACUUAAGAGCAUUAAGCCGGGCUUGGAGUCCUAAGCGUGGGGCCCUCUGCCUGCCCUGCUGGCCACCAGAGCCAUCAGCCAGGGGAGAGAAAGGUCGCACCCUCAGAGGAACUUGGAGGUAGAGGUAGAGGCAUCAGGCCGUCUGGAGCAUGUCUAGAUGAGGAGAGAGGGUUGAAAAACUAGAUGGGUCAAGAAUGAAGGGUUAACAGUAAGUUGGACUUUAUCCUGUAGGCUUUGAAAGCUUCUAACUGAAAAAGAGUUGAAAGCAAUGUUUGGUGACUAUUGAUCUGGCUUUGGAAUGUUGAAUAGACAGGGAUGCCAGGGGAAGGCAGGAGGCUGUUGGAAUAGUUACAGAGGGAAAGAUAAAGACCCAGGUUAAUGGGAGUAAUGGGAGGGCUGUGGAUACAGCUCAGCUGGUAGAGUGCUUGCCUCACAUGCAUUAAGGCCCUGGGUUCAAUCCCUAGCACUACCAAAAAAGAAAAAAAAAAGGAGUAGAAGGGAAAGGACAUAUUCUAAGGAAAGAAUCAAGUGUUAGGGGCAUCCUAGUGUUCAAUACCUUCUGCUCAGUAGAUCUUCUUGCUUUGACACUUUCUUUCUACACUUUGUAGCCCUCAGACUACCCAGUAAAUACCUUUUGACUUUGGGCAGGUUAUACUUCCUGGGCCUCAAAUUCCUCCACUGUAAACUGAGAUUAAAGUGGUGAUUAUAAGGUUCUACCAAGCUCACAUUGACUCAGUGAAUCUUGUAUUUCUGAGCUAGCCACCAGCACUGGCACGCAUUAACUGGUUCAUUGUAUUUUUCCAGUGCCUCCUGUGUGUCAGGUAGCAUAUUAGGCUGGGAACGUAAAUAAUUUAGUCUGAUAGGUGUUUACUUCUAAAAUUUUUGUCACUGACUCCUUCCCAUUAGGACUUUAACAACCUUAAAAUAACUUAUUAACUUCUGUGGCAGGUAACUUACCUGUAACUUGGAUAUCCUCAGGAUCCUUCCUAUUCUAACACAUCAUAAUUCAUUAGCUAUUAGGAAGAGAGAAAUCACAGAUGACACUGAAUUUUGAAGCCCGGGUGAAUGUUAGUUAAUCCAUUUGACAAAAAAAUGAAGUAGGAGAACCUGUUUAAGAUCAAAGUUAUGAGUUUUGUUGGGCAUACGUGAAUUUCAGAACUCUUUCUUUUCCACUUCACAAAUAAAGACAUUUUUGAUCCUCUUCCAUUUGACGCUACAAGUGUAAUAUACAUUGACAUCUUCUCAGGAUGUCCCUUUGUCCGUUAUUAUGUUGGGUCCCUUCUCCUUGAAAAUUGUUUCCUUAAGUUAUCCUCUCCCAUGUAUCUUGAGUUCUCCCUCCUUACUGGAUUUUCCCCUUCAGUACUUAAACAUGC
RNAcentral lists this long non-coding RNA (1387 nucleotides) under Marmota monax (woodchuck). Lineage: Eukaryota; Metazoa; Chordata; Mammalia; Rodentia; Sciuridae. The record is from RNAcentral.